Molecule: long non-coding RNA, 329 nt
Organism: Sebastes umbrosus (honeycomb rockfish)
Lineage: Eukaryota; Metazoa; Chordata; Actinopteri; Perciformes; Sebastidae
Exons: 3
Source: RefSeq, a predicted model, not a curated record
GAAACUCUCGCGAGAGUUUGGCAACUUCCCAUUAGACCACCUGACGACCUGCCACAAACUAGAAAACCGCAAACAAGCACAGACCAUGAACGGGCUCCAGAACAGGAACUCGGGGAACGUGUUCACGCAGGUCUGGUCAUCCACAACAGGCACAGUUAUACACUUCAGGCGUGGAGAAUACUCAUCUGUUUCCAACAACAAGAAGGAAAAUUGUGUCAGACGCUGGAAAAGCUGAAGACCGGAGGUCAUGCUGAGAAGGCGACAGCAUUUGAAUUACAGGUAAAAAAUAAAGUGCUAGAUUUUAUGGUUGAAUUCUAAUAAAGCAGAAU